This 1091-nucleotide long non-coding RNA is filed under the name Numida meleagris (helmeted guineafowl). Its description in RNAcentral is "lncRNA (ENSNMEG00000022710.1)". The record is from RNAcentral. Lineage: Eukaryota; Metazoa; Chordata; Aves; Galliformes; Numididae.
AGAAGCACUACAGUGCCUGCUGUAUAAUUUGACUCAGACUUCAUUGAGCAAGAUGGCAUAACAUCAACUGGAUAUCCCCCUGCAGGGAGUUUCAUCUCCAGUACCUGGCCAGGAUGUUGAGAGGAUUAUUUCAUCAUGGGUUUUAUGUACGACCUAUCACUAUCACAUGAAAGCACUAAAUGAAGUUAAAUUAAAAAUCCAGCUGAUGCUAGGAAGCAUGGUGUGAGAAACUCUGCAGGGGCAGGACCAUAUUUUACCAUUGCCAACUGAUGUAAAAGAAAGGAUUGUCCCUAUGAAAGAAUGAAGGAAGAAUCUUCUGGCAGUAAUGAGGUAAUGCAGAGCCUUUGGUGUUUGAAAGGAUCUGAGCUCUGUAAUAUCCACCCAGAUUUUGAGUGUUGCACACUUGGAUCUUUCUCCUCGAGCUGGUUUGAAUGUCUGCUCCAGUGUCCAGCCUUGCUGUACUGUUCCCUGCAUUUCAAAUAUUGCUGAGAGAAGUGAAAAUGAAUGUUGUAUUGCCUUGAGGAAGUUCAUCUGCCUUGCAUCAGAGAGCCAGAUGGCCCAAGGAUUUGGUGACAGAUUAUGAAGGCUUACACUUGAUUGAUUUCUGGAUAGUAGACAGUGCAGUGUGGGUCUUCUGUUCUGCUGCAGCCUUAGCCACAAAAAACUUAAAUCUCAGUCCCUUCAUUCUGUGACAUGAUGAUGCCUGAUAUAUGAGGGCUGCUCUGAAAGUAAUGCUUCCUAUUUUAUUAUGUUGGUCCACAACACCAAGGGGUGGAUAUCUCUGAUAUGGCAGUAGAGGCAGAACCUUCCCACCAAUAUUCCGUUACGUUUUGUUGCAACAGUGACAGUGCUGAAAUAUCGCAAAGUUUGCGCCAGGCAAGACCCGUGGAUGCUCACACAGGAACAGAAGGAGCACUGCAUGCAAGUUUGUUGGGACCCAUUGAACAAAUACGAAGCUGAAGGUGACAGCAUCCUGGAUUGCAACAUUACCAGUGACGAGGCAUCGUGUCAUCACUACGAGCCAAAGUCAACACGACAGUCCAUGGAGUGAUGACAUGUGAAUUCUGCAUUAGAGAAAAAGUUCAAGACAC